Non-coding RNA from Schistosoma curassoni, 45 nucleotides. NCBI's taxonomy places the organism in Eukaryota, Metazoa, Platyhelminthes, Trematoda, Strigeidida, Schistosomatidae. The record is from Rfam.
AUCCAACUGACGAGUCCCAAAAAGGACGAAACGCUCGUCUUGUAU